AUUGAACUGAAGAGUUUGAUCCUGGCUCAGAUUGAACGCUGGCGGCAUGCCUUACACAUGCAAGUCGAACGGCAGCACGGGUGCUUGCACCUGGUGGCGAGUGGCGAACGGGUGAGUAAUACAUCGGAACAUGUCCUGUAGUGGGGGAUAGCCCGGCGAA
Molecule: ribosomal RNA, 160 nt
Filed under: Burkholderia gladioli
Lineage: Bacteria; Pseudomonadati; Pseudomonadota; Betaproteobacteria; Burkholderiales; Burkholderiaceae
Description: partial 16S ribosomal RNA
Rfam family: Bacterial small subunit ribosomal RNA
Source: RNAcentral